Long non-coding RNA from Gadus macrocephalus (Pacific cod), 713 nucleotides. RefSeq lists it as uncharacterized. The transcript is spliced from 3 exons. Lineage: Eukaryota; Metazoa; Chordata; Actinopteri; Gadiformes; Gadidae. The record is from RefSeq and is a predicted model, not a curated record.
AUGAGACCUGGGGAGAGUUUUUUGUGGAGGUGGUGAAAACCUUUGGUGAGACAGACAAAAGUAGGAUGUACCACUUUUCUCCCCUUAGGCUUUAAAAGCUUUACUCACUUCAUUGUUGUCUUCAACAGCCAAUUAUGAUGCAGCGCGUAUGAACCUGAAAAAAGCCCAAACCAGGAGCACCCUGACAUCAGAUGAUGAAGGGGGUAAAAUAAGGAGAAUGUAAGCACUGUGCAGUAAUCUAUACUAUGAAAACCAUCAGCUACACAAAACAAUGCAUGCUUAUUGAGUGAUUUCUUUUCUAAUGCAGCCCUUCCUCAAAGCUGAAAGAAACUGCCUGCAGAUGAGGGGGAGAAGCAUACAAGGUCUGAUUACAGAUGGCCAUGCAUUAUCACUCACAUGAAGACAUUUUGUGAUUGGCAAGUUUGCAGUCUUACAAAACUGUUGUUGUUCAUACUCUUGUACUGUUCCAAUGUAUAGGGCUAAGAAAAAAGAAAAAAAAGGAGUCCUCCACAAGCCCCUGCUUUCCCCACCUGCUUUUAGAUCAUCACAGCAGGACAUACAUAAAGUUGCUGCCCACACAUCAGCUGCUCUUGAACAGGCCUCUGCCCAGAUCUCUGGCAACAUUCAAAGUCAAUUCGAACGGGAUCAUGCACUCCUGCGUGCUGUGGAGGAGUUGAAGGCCUUGGUGAGGCAGAACAACCUCCUCCUCCAGG